GACGAACGCUGGCGGCGUGCUUAACACAUGCAAGUCGAACGAAGAGCGAUGGAAGCUUGCUUCUAUCAAUCUUAGUGGCGAACGGGUGAGUAACGUGUAAUCAACCUGCCCUUCAGAGGGGGACAACAGUUGGAAACGACUGCUAAUACCGCAUACGAUCUAACCUCGGCAUCGAGGAUAGAUGAAAGGUGGCCUCUAUUUAUAAGCUAUCACUGAAGGAGGGGAUUGCGUCUGAUUAGCUAGUUGGAGGGGUAACGGCCCACCAAGGCGAUGAUCAGUAGCCGGUCUGAGAGGAUGAACGGCCACAUUGGGACUGAGACACGGCCCAGACUCCCACGGGAGGCAGCAGUGGGGAAUCUUCCGCAAUGGACGAAAGUCUGACGGAGCAACGCCGCGUGAGUGAUGACGGCCUUCGGGUUGUAAAGCUCUGUUAAUCGGGACGAAAGGUCUUCUUGCGAAUAGUUAGAAGGAUUGACGGUACCGGAAUAGAAAGCCAC
RNAcentral lists this ribosomal RNA (497 nucleotides) under Veillonella dispar. Its description in RNAcentral is "bacterial SSU rRNA". It matches the Rfam family "Bacterial small subunit ribosomal RNA", at positions 28 to 494 of the family's 1533-position model. Lineage: Bacteria; Bacillati; Bacillota; Negativicutes; Veillonellales; Veillonellaceae. The record is from RNAcentral.